CCCAUGAGCAGAUAAUUAUACAGAACAAGGGUGUGAGCAGCCUCAGCUGACACUGGUUAAAGGAAGUGAAUAAAAAGUGCUUUGAGGGCACAGGCUGCUGUUUUGUUGAGGAAGGUUAAGGGCUAACUUGUCUGAAGUUGCAAGAGGACCAAUGCUGCUUUCCAUGACCUGCUGUUGCUGUAUGCUUCAGGGAAUUCAGAACAACCUAUUGCCCCAUGCUGCAAUGAUUUCUGGUUGUCCAAGCUCUUUCUCCAGACGAGUUGAGGACAUUGCACAGAAAGAGUUCUAUCUGACAGCAAGUGCUUGGCCUUCCUGUGAGAGCUGACCUGUGGUUAAGGGAUUCCAGUGCUUAAGAAAAACCACCAGCGAGUGCCUGACUCCCAGUGCCACCACAGACUGGCAGGGCAGUCUGGUUGCAACCUUCUGAGGGGGUUAAUCCACAAUAUCUCUAGUGGAUGUUGCUUUGGAGCCUGUUCUGUGUUAGGGCUUUCUGAGGACAACUUCUGCCUUGCUGUAGGAUGCCCUGGUUCCAGCAGCCCUGUUUGUGCCCACUGGAUGGUUACGGCUGCCUGAGCACACGGAGGUUGGGAGACCUUGGCAGAAGGAUGUUUGUCUGAUGUAUUUACCCAGGAGCAGAUGAGCUCAUUGCAGGCAUCUGCCCAGCAGCCAUCAUGCUGCCUGCAUGGUUCCUUAGGAUAUUAAUUAACAGCAGUGCAGAAAAUGUGGUGCCUCUUCUGCACUGUCUUCUCCUGUGAGGAGGCUGAAAUUUUAGGCACUUUCCAAAACAUAAAGCAAUAAGUCGGUCUUAAUGUGGUCUUUCCUUUGCAUAGUAUCUUGCUCUUACUCAGCUCUGGCAGAUACCUGGUCUGCUCUUCCAGCCCCUUGCUUCUGCACUGUACCCAAAAGCUGUUCCAAUUUUCUUACCUCCCCGUAAGGUUUCCUUUCAUUUGCUUCUGUUGCUUUUCUUAUCACUUUUUAUGCUUUCAACUUCAUUAUGCAAUUGUUCCAACCGUGUUCAGUAUUUGAUGUUUUAUAACUCGUGUCUGCCUCUUUCCCCCAUUGUUGAUUACUUUUACACUUCUGUUCCUUCACACUGGCUUUAAAAAUAAAAUACAAAAAAACAACUUGAACAUUCCUUGUGCAAUUACUGUGAGGUGUUGCGCGUAACCCUUGGGCAUACAUUAAUUUCUUCGAACACCUAUUUCCUGUGUCCUUUCUCUCCCUGGCUUGUAUUGAAUUUCCACCUGCACUUACUGAGUCUCUAAACUUUACUCUGCUAAAAUGUAAUCUACCUUUUUAACUUUUAGUUGAAUAUUAAUCCUAGUGAAUUCCUUAAAGACUGCGGUCCUGAUUCUUCCCCACACCUGCACCACCAGCCAUGUCACAGAAGCCUUGCUUAAGAAUUACUCCUGACAAAAAAAGCCAUCACUUUUUUCAAGCUUCUUAUAAUGAAAAUGAUACUUUCAGCCAGGCCAACUGUAAGACUGCACAGUAAGGAAAUAUUUUUUUCCCAGCAUCCACAAAUUCAAUGGAAAACUGGGAGUGGGAGCAGAUCAGGUGCAGCACUGGCUCCUCCUUGCCAGGCAUGGAGGAGUGAAGCAGCAGGAACACUGGGGAGGUUCACAUUGAUCCAUGACUCAUGGGACUCACGCUAAAUAGUGAGUUUCCUGAGGUGCUGAAUUGUUGAAGGUGUUCAGUGAGGGAUGCUCUACAAAAUCAGUGUAGAGUCCAGCUUUUCAUCAACACAGGAGGGAACAGAUCUAUAUACUAGAGACCUGAGAGCUGUCUUCUGCAUAUGAUUUCAGCUUCUCCAGUGAGAAGUCUUCUGCAGAGUGAUUUCAGCACUGCCCAUGCAUGGCUGUGGUCUGUCAGAAAUACCCCCAUGAGGUGAGGAGAGAUGUCCUGGCCAUGGCAGUGUCCCUAACAAGUCUGCUGAAAGGCACCUGUGUGGGAUGGGAUUGAGGUCACCCAGGGCAGCAUCCAUCACAGAAUGAUGGGCAGAUGUCACCAUGCAGGGGGACAGCCUGGGGGGAGUCACACCAGCAGGAGAAAUAAACUGCCCAGAUGUGGGUGGUAGAGCAAGGAGUGGAGAAGAGGAUUUCCUGUCCCCAUAAUGUAUAGCUGUGAAUGAAGAAAAAUGCAGUGGUAUGUGCAGCAAGUGGGAAAGGAGAUGGGUCCCUGAAGAAAGGGAGAGUGGCUGUUGUGCACCUGCGGUCUUGACUUUUCCACCAAUUUCCUUCAAAAGCCACCUUUGGUAAGCAUGGGGUCUACUUGGUGGUCAACAGAGGACUUGAAACACCUCAAGCGAAUUCUGGAUUUCCAGGCAUAAGAAUUACUUCCUGGAAAUCAUCAGUUAUUACCAUUAAAUGUACCUCUCUGUAGACAAUUACUAAUGCAUAUGAAAUUGUAUCAGUGUUGAAACUUUCUGAAUGUAUUUUUCCUGUUCUUCUAUAGCUUUUAUCUUGUGUUAUUGUAUGUAAUUAACACAUCUAAUAACAUAUAGACUUUAAGUGACCUUGUUAAUGUCAUGGCUUAUGAAGUUUGUUUUCAUGUAAUGUUUUCCUCUAUUGAAUAAUCACAUUAAUUUAUAGUAAAUUCUGAGUACAUGUAUUUUGUA
This is a long non-coding RNA of Anas platyrhynchos (mallard), 2617 nucleotides long. RefSeq lists it as uncharacterized. NCBI's taxonomy places the organism in Eukaryota, Metazoa, Chordata, Aves, Anseriformes, Anatidae. The record is from RefSeq and is a predicted model, not a curated record.